UACGUAGGGACCGAGCGUUGUCCGGAAUCAUUGGGCGUAAAGAGCGUGUAGGCGGCCACUUAAGUCCUGCGUGAAAUCUUGCGGCUCAACCGCAAGCGGUCGUGGGAAACUGGGUGGCUAGAGUGCGGGAGAGGAGAGUGGAAUUCCUGGUGUAGCGGUGGAAUGCGCAGAUAUCAGGAGGAACACCCGUGGCGAAGGCGGCUCUCUGGAACGCAACUGACGCUGAGACGCGAAAGCGUGGGGAGGAAACAGG
RNAcentral lists this ribosomal RNA (253 nucleotides) under uncultured bacterium. Its description in RNAcentral is "partial 16S ribosomal RNA". It matches the Rfam family "Bacterial small subunit ribosomal RNA", at positions 524 to 776 of the family's 1533-position model. The record is from RNAcentral.